Molecule: ribosomal RNA, 510 nt
Filed under: uncultured bacterium
Lineage: Bacteria
Description: partial 16S ribosomal RNA
Rfam family: Bacterial small subunit ribosomal RNA
Source: RNAcentral
GACGAACGCUGGCGGCGUGCUUAACACAUGCAAGUCGAACGAAGAGCGACGGAAGCUUGCUUCUAUCAAUCUUAGUGGCGAACGGGUGAGUAACGCGUAAUCAACCUGCCCUUCAGAGGGGGACAACAGUUGGAAACGACUGCUAAUACCGCAUACGAUCUAAUCUCGGCAUCGAGGAUGGAUGAAAGGUGGCCUCUACAUGUAAGCUAUCACUGAAGGAGGGGAUUGCGUCUGAUUAGCUAGUUGGAGGGGUAACGGCCCACCAAGGCGAUGAUCAGUAGCUGGUCUGAGAGGAUGAACGGCCACAUUGGGACUGAGACACGGCCCAGACUCCUACGGGAGGCAGCAGUGGGGAAUCUUCCGCAAUGGAAGAAAGUCUGACGGAGCAACGCCGCGUGAGUGAUGACGGCCUUCGGGUUGUAAAGCUCUGUUAAUCGGGACGAAAGGCCUUCUUGCGAAUAGUGAGAAGGAUUGACGGUACCGGAAUAGAAAGCCACGGCUAACUACGUG